Molecule: ribosomal RNA, 346 nt
Filed under: uncultured bacterium
Lineage: Bacteria
Description: partial 16S ribosomal RNA
Rfam family: Bacterial small subunit ribosomal RNA
Source: RNAcentral
CCUACGGGGGGCUGCAGUGAGGAAUAUUGGUCAAUGGGCGCGAGCCUGAACCAGCCAAGUAGCGUGAAGGAUGACUGCCCUACGGGUGGUAAACUUCGUUUAUAAAGGAAUAAAGUGAGGCAAGUGUGCCUUUUUGGAUGUACUUUAUGAAUAAGGAGCGGCUAACUCCGUGCCAGCAGCCGCGGUAAUACGGAGGAUCCGAGCGUUAUCCGGAUUUAUUGGGGUUCAAGGGAGCGUAGAUGGGUUGUUAAGUCAGUUGUGAAAGUUUUCGGCGCCACCGGAAAAUUGCAAUUGAUACUGGCAGCCUUGAGUACAGUUGAGGUCGGCUGACUUCGUGGUGUCGCGG